Molecule: small nuclear RNA, 108 nt
Organism: Octodon degus (degu)
Lineage: Eukaryota; Metazoa; Chordata; Mammalia; Rodentia; Octodontidae
Source: Ensembl
GUGCUUGCUUCGGCAGCACAUAUACUAAAAUUGGAACAAUACAGAGGAGAUUAGCAUGGCCCCUGCACAAGGAUGACACGCAAAUUCGUGGAAAGAAAAGCUAAUUUU